This 490-nucleotide ribosomal RNA is filed under the name uncultured bacterium. RNAcentral describes it as "partial 16S ribosomal RNA". It matches the Rfam family "Bacterial small subunit ribosomal RNA", at positions 30 to 507 of the family's 1533-position model. The record is from RNAcentral.
AUUGAACGCUGGCGGCAGGCCUAACACAUGCAAGUCGAACGGUAACAGGAAGCAGCUUGCUGCUUUGCUGACGAGUGGCGGACGGGUGAGUAAUGUCUGGGAAACUGCCCGAUGGAGGGGGAUAACUACUGGAAACGGUAGCUAAUACCGCAUAACGUCGCAAGACCAAAGAGGGGGACCUUAGGGCCUCUUGCCAUCGGAUGUGCCCAGAUGGGAUUAGCUAGUAGGUGGGGUAACGGCUCACCUAGGCGACGAUCCCUAGCUGGUCUGAGAGGAUGACCAGCCACACUGGAACUGAGACACGGUCCAGACUCCUACGGGAGGCAGCAGUGGGGAAUAUUGCACAAUGGGCGCAAGCCUGAUGCAGCCAUGCCGCGUGUAUUAAGAAGGCCUUCGGGUUGUAAAGUACUUUCAGCGGGGAGGAAGGGAGUAAAGUUAAUACCUUGGCUCAUUGACGUUACCCGCAGAAGAAGCACCGGCUAACUCCGUG